CGUGAGUGGCGGACGGGUGAGCAACGCGUGGGCAACCUGCCCCGUACCGGGGGACAACAGCCGGAAACGGCUGCUAAUACCGCAUAUUCCCGCGGGGCCGCAUGGCCCUGCGGGAAAGCUCCGGCAGUACGGGAUGGGCCCGCGUCUGAUUAGCUUGUUGGCGGGGUAACGGCCCACCAAGGCUGCGAUCAGUAGCCGGCCUGAGAGGGCGGCCGGCCACAUUGGGACUGAGACACGGCCCAGACUCCUACGGGAGGCAGCAG
This 263-nucleotide ribosomal RNA is filed under the name uncultured bacterium. RNAcentral's name for it is "partial 16S ribosomal RNA". It matches the Rfam family "Bacterial small subunit ribosomal RNA", at positions 90 to 354 of the family's 1533-position model. The record is from RNAcentral.